UUCAGCUGUUCAUCUGAACUCCGACGAUGACAUUAUCAUUUGUAGUGAAAACAUUAGCAUGUUCACUAGUCAGACUGUAAAUCUAAGAAUGUGAGCGCCAUUGAGAAGCAAGCAUUGACAAACGUGAAGAAGCAUUUCUGAAGUCCGCCGCACAGAAGAAACGCCAAAGUGCCCAACAAAUGUUUUAUUCAUAGCAUGUAGCCAGCUGGGACAUUUGAAUGCAAGAGCAGCUGCGGUACUAGGACGAUCCACGCAUCGUUUGCCAAGCAAACAUCGUCCCUCAGCUCAGCUCAGCUUCACACAAUGAUUCCUCCGCCCGGAAGAUGAGACGAGCCUACAGGAGCCGGAUCACACCGCCGCUUUAAAAGGCCGCGGAGGGCGAGCACGACUAUCCGGGCCAAGUUCACACAGCUAACAGGUGUACAGCAAGGACCGGUUCUCCGACCGUUUGCUCCCUGAUGUUUACCUGAGACCUUUCGGCCUGGAGUUUGAGUCAUGCUCUGGGGUUUCAGCAGGAGCGUCAGCACUCACUGGCAGAAGGAGAAGUUUUAAAUGCGGAAGAAGACCGUCCAGGCUGAAUCAGGCAGAGCUAUCUCAGGACAGUCGAUUUCUUCCAGGUCACCAGAGUCAUCUCAGCUGG
This is a long non-coding RNA of Sinocyclocheilus rhinocerous, 640 nucleotides long. RefSeq lists it as uncharacterized. The transcript has 3 exons. NCBI's taxonomy places the organism in Eukaryota, Metazoa, Chordata, Actinopteri, Cypriniformes, Cyprinidae. The record is from RefSeq and is a predicted model, not a curated record.